CCUACGGGAGGCAGCAGUAGGGAAUAUUGGACAAUGGGGGAAACCCUGAUCCAGCAAUGCCGCGUGAGUGAAGAAGGCCCUCGGGUUGUAAAACUCUUUCAUCAAUGAUGAUAAUGACAUUAGUUGAAGAAGAAGCUCCGGCUAACUUCGUGCCAGCAGCCGCGGUAAUACGAAGGGGGCUAGCGUUGUUCGGAAUCACUGGGCGUAAAGCGUAUGUAGGCGGAUCAAAAAGUUAGAUGUGAAAUCCCUGGGCUCAACCCAGGAACUGCAUUUAAAACUAGUGAUCUAGAAUUUGGUAAAGGUUAGUAGAAUUUCCAGUGUAGAGGUGAAAUUCGUAGAUAUUGGAAAGAAUACCAGAAGCGAAGGCGACUAACUAGGCCAUUUUUGACGCUGAGAUACGAAAGCGUGGGUAGCAAACAGGAUUAGAUACCCUAGUAGUC
This 440-nucleotide ribosomal RNA is filed under the name uncultured bacterium. RNAcentral's name for it is "bacterial SSU rRNA". It matches the Rfam family "Bacterial small subunit ribosomal RNA", at positions 338 to 795 of the family's 1533-position model. The record is from RNAcentral.